Molecule: long non-coding RNA, 1154 nt
Organism: Dermacentor silvarum
Lineage: Eukaryota; Metazoa; Arthropoda; Arachnida; Ixodida; Ixodidae
Exons: 3
Source: RefSeq, a predicted model, not a curated record
CGUACGCUGAUCUCAAAGGCCAUGCUUAUGCUGGCUGCAGACGGCGGAAGCAAUUCAAAGGUAAAAUACGUUUUAAAAUUUAUUUCUACGCUGAACUAUAGUCUAAAAUAUAGAUUGUUCUACGGUUAUUUUGUCUCGCAACAUCUAUACGUAGUUGUGUGUAACCCGGCACAAAAUUUUAGUAUGCGAGUGUACUGGUUAAUAUUUUUGUCAUCACAGAGGCCACAACAUUCUCACAAGUAUGCAGGUGGCGCUAUUGUUUUUCCUCCGUGUUCUGUGAUGGCGGUCGUAUGUGCGGGGUGCUACGAGCGUCGCGUUUGCUUGAUCGUCUGUUUUUGUGUUUGCUGUUAUGAAGUAGGUCGCAGUUAGCGUGCACAGAAGUGCCUGAAGAUACCUUGUGUCAUGCUGCAAACUCGCCGUAUGCGUGGCGCGCCAGGCAAAUGUGGCCCAACGAUUUUAUGCCGUGGAGUGCGGUCUCUUUGUUCUCGUUCUGGAAAGUUAGGUGGACGUCGCAAAGAAAUAAUGUGUGUUAGCGCGCCUCAGCUCGUCCACUACGCAGCGGCAUGUAUGCGGGGAGUAACAUCGUCGACGCAGCACCGGCAACUUGGAGAGCGCUUCGCGACCGCGUCGUACCAUUCAAAAGUGGCGAGGCUGUGACCCAUAACAGUGCCCACAUAACGGAGGAGCCACCAGACCCCUUGGCCAUGCCUGCCGUAGUGCAACGUGUAAUCUGGAUGGUCGGGUCAGGUACACCUAGGAAAUGUUGUAUACAUUGGCAAUGAUAACUGGGGCCUGCUCCAGUGCCAUCACCGGGAUUCCCUGUUCUGCAAAGAACUGGCAUAACUGAUGUGGGGAGCCCUGGCGCUCGGCGUAGGAGCGUCACAGGGGCUCCUUGUCGGUGCUUGAAGGACGGCAGUGCUGUUGAGAAGCCGACAUUGAGCCCCGAUAAAUUGGAAGCUGUGGGUAGUAAGUAUCAUUCACAUUUUUUCAACUUUUUGUAAUGUUUGUAACAAUGCAUGUAUUGCACCGAAAUGAUUAACUUUUCAGAUGCAUUUGAUGCAUAUCUUUCGAAAUGUGGUGCCCCUGAGGAGAAAAAAUCAUCUUCUCAUGCUUGGUUUUGGCCGAGCGGUUGAAUCGAGUGACAAAGUUUUUCG